AGAGUUUGAUCUUGGCUCAGAUUGAACGCUGGUGGUAUGCUUAACACAUGCAAGUCGAACGGUAACAGAAGGAGCUUGCUCCUUGCUGACGAGUGGCGGACGGGUGAGUAACGCGUAGGAAUCUACCUAUCUGUGGGGGAUACCGUUUGGAAACGAACGUUAAUACCGCAUAAUAUCUUCGGAUUAAAAGUGGCACUUGUGCUGCUGCGGAUAGAUGAGCCUGCGUUAGAUUAGCUUGUUGGUGGGGUAAAGGCCUACCAAGGCUGCGAUCUAUAGCUGAUUUGAGAGGAUGAUCAGCCACAUUGGAACUGAGACACGGUCCAAACUCCUACGGGAGGCAGCAGUGGGGAAUAUUGGACAAUGGGCGGAAGCCUGAUCCAGCAAUACCAUGUGUGUGAAGAAGGCUCUAGGGUUGUAAAGCACUUUAGUCAGGGAGGAAGUUUAUUUGGUUAAUAGCUGAAUGAAUUGACGUUACCUGAAGAGUAAGCACCGGCUAACUCCGUGCCAGCAGCCGCGGUAAUACGGGGGGUGCAAGCGUUAAUCGGAAUUACUGGGCGUAAAGGGUCUGUAGGUGGUAUAGUAAGUCAGAUGUGAAAGCCCAGGGCUCAACCUUGGAACUGCAUUUGAUACUGCUAAACUAGAGUAUAGUAGAGGAAUGGGGGAAUUUCUGGUGUAGCGGUGAAAUGCGUAGAGAUCAGAAGGAACACCAAUGGCGAAGGCAACAUUCUGGACUAAUACUGACACUGAGGGACGAAAGCGUGGGGAUCAAACAGGAUUAGAUACCCUGGUAGUCCACGCUGUAAACGAUGAGUACUAGCUGUUGGGUUCGGGUGUAAAGGAUCUAGUGGCGCAGCUAACGCGUUAAGUACUCCGCCUGGGGACUACGGCCGCAAGGCUAAAACUCAAAGGAAUUGACGGG
Molecule: ribosomal RNA, 919 nt
Filed under: uncultured bacterium
Lineage: Bacteria
Description: bacterial SSU rRNA
Rfam family: Bacterial small subunit ribosomal RNA
Source: RNAcentral